GAUGAACGCUAGCGGCAGGCUUAACACAUGCAAGUCGAGGGGUAUUGGUUUUCGGACCAAGAGACCGGCGCACGGGUGCGUAACGCGUAUGCAAUCUACCUUUUGCAGAGGGAUAGCCCCAGAGAAAUUUGGAUUAAUACCUCAUAGUAUAGUACUUUGGCAUCAAGGAACUAUUAAAGUCACAACGGCAAAAGAUGAGCAUGCGUCCCAUUAGCUAGUUGGUAAGGUAACGGCUUACCAAGGCUACGAUGGGUAGGGGUCCUGAGAGGGAGAUCCCCCACACUGGUACUGAGACACGGACCAGACUCCUACGGGAGGCAGCAGUGAGGAAUAUUGGACAAUGGGCGCAAGCCUGAUCCAGCCAUGCCGCGUGCAGGAUGACGGUCCUAUGGAUUCGUAAACUGCUUUUUGACAGAAGAACACUACUUCGUGAAGGUAGCUUGACGGUACUGUAAG
RNAcentral lists this ribosomal RNA (456 nucleotides) under uncultured bacterium. RNAcentral's name for it is "bacterial SSU rRNA". It matches the Rfam family "Bacterial small subunit ribosomal RNA", at positions 28 to 484 of the family's 1533-position model. The record is from RNAcentral.